RNAcentral lists this ribosomal RNA (409 nucleotides) under uncultured Methylomirabilota bacterium. RNAcentral describes it as "bacterial SSU rRNA". It matches the Rfam family "Bacterial small subunit ribosomal RNA", at positions 1026 to 1434 of the family's 1533-position model. The record is from RNAcentral. Lineage: Bacteria; Methylomirabilota (SeqCode).
GCGUGGAGACAGGUGGUGCAUGGCUGUCGUCAGCUCGUGUCGUGAGAUGUUGGGUUAAGUCCCGCAACGAGCGCAACCCUCACCCCUUGUUGCCAUCAGGUGAUGCUGGGCACUCUAGGGGAACUGCCCCGGUCAACGGGGAGGAAGGUGGGGAUGACGUCAAGUCAUCAUGCCCCUUACGUCCUGGGCUACACACGUGCUACAAUGGCCGGUACAAAGGGAUGCAAGACCGCGAGGUGGAGCUAACCCCAAAAAGCCGGUCUAAGUUCAGAUUGGAGUCUGCAACUCGACUCCAUGAAGGAGGAAUCGCUAGUAAUCGCGCAUCAGCACGGCGCGGUGAAUACGUUCCCGGGCCUUGUACACACCGCCCAUCACACCACGAAAGCCAGCUGUACUCGAAGUCGCUGAG